Molecule: transfer RNA, 74 nt
Organism: Bathycoccus prasinos
Lineage: Eukaryota; Viridiplantae; Chlorophyta; Mamiellophyceae; Mamiellales; Bathycoccaceae
Rfam family: tRNA
About the family: Transfer RNA (tRNA) molecules are approximately 80 nucleotides in length. Their secondary structure includes four short double-helical elements and three loops (D, anti-codon, and T loops). Further hydrogen bonds mediate the characteristic L-shaped molecular structure. tRNAs have two regions of fundamental functional importance: the anti-codon, which is responsible for specific mRNA codon recognition, and the 3' end, to which the tRNAs corresponding amino acid is attached (by aminoacyl-tRNA synthetases). tRNAs cope with the degeneracy of the genetic code in two manners: having more than one tRNA (with a specific anti-codon) for a particular amino acid; and 'wobble' base-pairing, i.e. permitting non-standard base-pairing at the 3rd anti-codon position.
Source: Rfam
CGGAGUGUAGCGCAGUUUGGUAGCGUACGUCGUUUGGGACGAUGUGGUCGCAGGUUCGAAUCCUGUCACUCCGA